RNAcentral lists this ribosomal RNA (411 nucleotides) under Pseudomonas sp. enrichment culture. RNAcentral describes it as "bacterial SSU rRNA". It matches the Rfam family "Bacterial small subunit ribosomal RNA", at positions 352 to 755 of the family's 1533-position model. Lineage: Bacteria; Pseudomonadati; Pseudomonadota; Gammaproteobacteria; Pseudomonadales; Pseudomonadaceae. The record is from RNAcentral.
CAGUGGGGAAUAUUGGACAAUGGGCGAAAGCCUGAUCCAGCCAUGCCGCGUGUGUGAAGAAGGUCUUCGGAUUGUAAAGCACUUUAAGUUGGGAGGAAGGGUUGUAGAUUAAUACUCUGCAAUUUUGACGUUACCGACAGAAUAAGCACCGGCUAACUCUGUGCCAGCAGCCGCGGUAAUACAGAGGGUGCAAGCGUUAAUCGGAAUUACUGGGCGUAAAGCGCGCGUAGGUGGUUUGUUAAGUUGGAUGUGAAAUCCCCGGGCUCAACCUGGGAACUGCAUUCAAAACUGACUGACUAGAGUAUGGUAGAGGGUGGUGGAAUUUCCUGUGUAGCGGUGAAAUGCGUAGAUAUAGGAAGGAACACCAGUGGCGAAGGCGACCACCUGGACUAAUACUGACACUGANGUCCG